CCUUUUCGGCCGUCACUUACAGAUGGAGUCGUGGCGCAUUAGCUAGUUGCUGGCGUAAUGGCUCCACAAGGCGCCGAUGCGUAGCCGACCUGAGAGGGUGAUCGGCCACACUGGGAUUGAGACACGGGCCAGACUCCUACGGGAGGCAGCAGUAGGGAAUCUUUCGCAAUGGACGAAAGUCUGACGGAGCAACGCCGCGUGAGUGAUGAAGGUUUUCGGAUCGUAAAGCUGUGUUGUUAGGGAAGAACAAGUGCGAGAGUAACUGCUCGCACCUUGACGGUACCUAACCAGAAAGCCACGGCUAACUACGUGCCAGCAGCCGCGGUAAUACGUAGGUGGCAAGCGUUGUCCGGAAUUAUUGGGCGUAAAGGGCUCGCAGGCGGUUUCUUAAGUCUGAUGUGAAAGCCCCCGGCUCAACCGGGGAGGGUCAUUGGAAACUGGGAAACUUGAGUGCAGAAGAGGAGAGUGGAAUUCCACGUGUAGCGGUGAAAUGCGUAGAGAUGUGGAGGAACACCAGUGGCGAAGGCGACUCUCUGGUCUGUAACUGACGCUGAGGAGCGAAAGCGUGGGGAGCGAACAGGAUUAGAUACCCUGGUAGUCCACGCCGUAAACGAUGAGUGCUAAGUGUUAGGGGGUUUCCGCCCCUUAGUGCUGCAGCUAACGCAUUAAGCAUUCCGCCUGGGAGUCGUCCCGGCCAUUUAACCAACAAAGCC
RNAcentral lists this ribosomal RNA (713 nucleotides) under bacterium. RNAcentral describes it as "bacterial SSU rRNA". It matches the Rfam family "Bacterial small subunit ribosomal RNA", at positions 208 to 873 of the family's 1533-position model. The record is from RNAcentral.